RNAcentral lists this long non-coding RNA (318 nucleotides) under Brassica napus (rape). Its description in RNAcentral is "long non-coding RNA (BNAP_LNC000611)". The record is from RNAcentral. Lineage: Eukaryota; Viridiplantae; Streptophyta; Magnoliopsida; Brassicales; Brassicaceae.
CCCACAGAGAUCUCUCGAUUGAAGGAUGUGAGAAGAUAACUCUCGAGAUUGGUCGGAGAUUGAAGAUCUCUCCGAUUCUCCUCGCUUUGCCAAUCUUGACAUCUCUAUUCCCCGAAGAUUCCUUUGAAGAUCAGAAAGAUCUGUCUGAGCGCGACCUUCCUUUUGCUUCCAUCCACCAUUGUAACCAUCAUAAUAAUGAGAAUCUGCCCGCCGAUUAUCGAUUGAAAACUCUGAUUUCUCCUUGUAAUCCUUUGAUCCCCGGGAUCCCAACCUUGAAAAUCCAUCGAACCCUAAAAAGUCGCGGUCGCCAUCGCCAUC